AUUGAACGCUGGCGGCAGGCCUAACACAUGCAAGUCGAGCGGAUGAAGGGAGCUUGCUCCUGGAUUCAGCGGCGGACGGGUGAGUAAUGCCUAGGAAUCUGCCUGGUAGUGGGGGAUAACGUCCGGAAACGGGCGCUAAUACCGCAUACGUCCUGAGGGAGAAAGUGGGGGAUCUUCGGACCUCACGCUAUCAGAUGAGCCUAGGUCGGAUUAGCUAGUUGGUGGGGUAAAGGCCUACCAAGGCGACGAUCCGUAACUGGUCUGAGAGGAUGAUCAGUCACACUGGAACUGAGUCACGGUCCAGACUCCUACGGGAGGCAGCAGUGGGGAAUAUUGGACAAUGGGCGAAAGCCUGAUCCGGCCAUGCCGCGUGUGUGAAGAAGGUCUUCGGAUUGUAAAGCACUUUAAGUUGGGAGGAAGGGCAGUAAGUUAAUACCUUGCUGUUUUGACGUUACCAACAGAAUAAGCACCGGCUAACUUCGUG
Molecule: ribosomal RNA, 484 nt
Filed under: uncultured bacterium
Lineage: Bacteria
Description: partial 16S ribosomal RNA
Rfam family: Bacterial small subunit ribosomal RNA
Source: RNAcentral